UACGAAGGGGGCUAGCGUUGCUCGGAAUCACUGGGCGUAAAGGGUGCGUAGGCGGGUCUUUAAGUCAGGGGUGAAAUCCUGGAGCUCAACUCCAGAACUGCCUUUUGAUACUGAGGAUCUUUGAGUUCGGGGAGAGGUGAGUGGAACUGCGAGUGUAGAGGUGAAAUUCGUAGAUAUUUCGCAAGAACACCAGUGGCGAAAGGCGGCUCACUGG
RNAcentral lists this ribosomal RNA (214 nucleotides) under uncultured bacterium. RNAcentral's name for it is "partial 16S ribosomal RNA". It matches the Rfam family "Bacterial small subunit ribosomal RNA", at positions 524 to 732 of the family's 1533-position model. The record is from RNAcentral.